This 1104-nucleotide long non-coding RNA is filed under the name Equus asinus (donkey). Its description in RNAcentral is "lncRNA (ENSEASG00005033186.1)". Lineage: Eukaryota; Metazoa; Chordata; Mammalia; Perissodactyla; Equidae. The record is from RNAcentral.
GUUCUGCAGAAAAACACAGAGGGAGAGGAGCAGACCAGGAAGGCCACUGGUGGGCCAAGGCGAGCCUGGAUUCGAAAUUCUACAGCCAAGGCUGGUCACAGCCCUACUCACUACUCAUCAGAAUGACUAGUCGGCUUCCCCAAAUCCGAGAUCAGCUGUCCUGGGUGAAGGGUUCUCUGUAGACACAUGCAGGAUUCUAAGAAAGCUGGCUGUGGGCAACACAGAGAAACAAAGCUGCUCUCAGUGGAUUUCCAAGAUGAAUACCACAGCUGCAUCCAUCCCAAACACAGGGGCCUUGAAUGCCUGUGGCGGGGCACACCUGCAGAGCUGGGCCUGGCCUGGACCAUGUGGCAGCUCAGCAGUUCACAGUCCUGCUGGGCCCUCCCAGCCGCCCCACCCCAGGAGGCCACAGAGGGUCCCCGGUGCUGAGAGCCGCUGGGCGCCUCUCAGGGAGAAUCCGCCAACAAUCUCUGCCCUGUCAAGGGUGCAGGGCUUGGCCCCCUCUGCCCAGGGACUGUCCAACUGCUGGGGUGAGGCUGGGGCUGCAGCGGGCAAGUGGGCCUGUGGGGACUGUGGUUCUGGGAGUCUCAGGCCUUAGUCUCACUGGAGCCCAGUUCUGGUAUUUUCAAGCUUUUCUCCAGCCAGAAAUAAUGCUAAUAUCCUACAACUGCAGCUUUUUCAGGGCACUACCACAAUUGAGACUUUCUCUUCAAGUAACAAUGAGAAUUUGUUCUGAGCCUUUGCGAUAAGAAAGGAGAGAGAAGAUCAUUCCUAGAGGCAGGAGGAGCAGAAAAUCAUCUCAACAAAAAGCACAGACUUCUCAUGAUAUAUUAUUAUGCUUUCAAAUAAGUAUUUCCACAAACCCAUUCUUUAGUUUAAAAUAAAGUGGCUCUGAAGUCUUAGAUUAUCUUGGCCAUGUCUUGUUUUAGGAGGAAAAAUCUGAUCUGGGGAAGCUGGUGGAUGAGCAACUUUGUCGUGGGGCCCAGCCUGGCAAGCUGCUCCCUUGAUGCAUCACGAUGCUGAGUUUCGCCAUAGGCUGUCUUCUGUGGGGAGUGUGAGAAGGGAAUCCCUUAUAAGGAGCGAUCCCUACUGAUUUAGUAAGUU